GACAGAGGGGGCAAGCGUUGCUCGGAAUCACUGGGCGUAAAGGGCGCGUAGGCGGGCUGGCAAGUCGGUCGUGAAAUCCUUCGGCUCAACCGAAGAACGUCGGCCGAUACUGCCGUUCUUGAGGGAUGCAGAGGAGAUUGGAAUUCCCGGUGUAGCGGUGAAAUGUGUAGAGAUCGGGAGGAACACCGGUGGCGAAGGCGGGUCUCUGGGACGUUACUGACGCUGAGACGCGAAAGCGUGGGGAGCAAACAGG
This 253-nucleotide ribosomal RNA is filed under the name uncultured bacterium. RNAcentral describes it as "partial 16S ribosomal RNA". It matches the Rfam family "Bacterial small subunit ribosomal RNA", at positions 524 to 776 of the family's 1533-position model. The record is from RNAcentral.